AGUGAACGCUGGCGGUAGGCCUAACACAUGCAAGUCGAACGGCAGCACAGUAAGAGCUUGCUCUUACGGGUGGCGAGUGGCGGACGGGUGAGGAAUACAUCGGAAUCUACUUUUUCGUGGGGGAUAACGUAGGGAAACUUACGCUAAUACCGCAUACGACCUACGGGUGAAAGCAGGGGAUCUUCGGACCUUGCGCGAUUGAAUGAGCCGAUGUCGGAUUAGCUAGUUGGCGGGGUAAAGGCCCACCAAGGCGACGAUCCGUAGCUGGUCUGAGAGGAUGAGCAGCCACACUGGAGCUGAGACACGGUCCAGACUCCUACGGGAGGCAGCAGUGGGGAAGAUUGGACAAUGGGCGCAAGCCUGAUCCAGCCAUACCGCGUGGGUGAAGAAGGCCUGCGGGUUGUAAAGCCCUUUUGUGGGGAAAGAAAAGCAGCAGGUUAAUACCCCGCUGUGCUGACGGUACCAAAAGAAUAAGCACCGGCUAACUUCGU
Molecule: ribosomal RNA, 491 nt
Filed under: uncultured bacterium
Lineage: Bacteria
Description: partial 16S ribosomal RNA
Rfam family: Bacterial small subunit ribosomal RNA
Source: RNAcentral